Molecule: ribosomal RNA, 443 nt
Filed under: uncultured bacterium
Lineage: Bacteria
Description: partial 16S ribosomal RNA
Rfam family: Bacterial small subunit ribosomal RNA
Source: RNAcentral
CCUACGGGGGGCAGCAGUGGGGAAUAUUGGGCAAUGGGCGCAAGCCUGACCCAGCAACGCCGCGUGAAGGCAGAAGGCUUUCGGGUUGUAAACUUCUUUUCUCAGGGACGAAGCAAGUGACGGUACCUGAGGAUUAAGCCACGGCUAACUACGUGCCAGCAUCCGCGGUAAUCCGUCGGUGGCAAGCGUGAUCCGGAUUUACGGGGUGUAAAGGGCGUGUUGGCGGGACUGAAAGUCAGAUGUGAAAACCAUGGGCUCAACCUAUGGCCUGCAUUUGAAACUGUAGUUCUUGAGUACUGGAGAGGCAGACGGAAUGCCUAGUGUAGCGGUGAAAUGCGUAGAUAUUAGGAGGAACACCAGUGGCGAAGGCGGUCUGCUGGACAGCAACUGACGCUGAGGCGCGAAAGCGUGGGGAUCAAACAGGAUUAGAUACCCUUGUAGUC